This 484-nucleotide ribosomal RNA is filed under the name uncultured bacterium. RNAcentral's name for it is "bacterial SSU rRNA". It matches the Rfam family "Bacterial small subunit ribosomal RNA", at positions 29 to 507 of the family's 1533-position model. The record is from RNAcentral.
AUUGAACGCUAGCGGCAUGCCUUACACAUGCAAGUCGAACGGCAGCACGGGGGCAACCCUGGUGGCGAGUGGCGAACGGGUGAGUAAUACAUCGGAACGUACCCAGUAGUGGGGGAUAACGUAGCGAAAGCUGCGCUAAUACCGCAUACGCCCUGAGGGGGAAANCGGGGGAUCGCAAGACCUUGCGCUAUACGAGCGGCCGAUGUCAGAUUAGCUAGUUGGUAGGGUAAAGGCCUACCAAGGCGACGAUCUGUAGCGGGUCUGAGAGGAUGAUCCGCCACACUGGGACUGAGACACGGCCCAGACUCCUACGGGAGGCAGCAGUGGGGAAUUUUGGACAAUGGGCGAAAGCCUGAUCCAGCCAUGCCGCGUGAGUGAAGAAGGCCUUCGGGUUGUAAAGCUCUUUCGGCUGGGAAGAAAUCGCACAGGCUAAUACUCUGUGUGGAUGACGGUACCAGCACAAGAAGCACCGGCUAACUACGUG